RNAcentral lists this long non-coding RNA (532 nucleotides) under Anas platyrhynchos platyrhynchos (common mallard). Its description in RNAcentral is "lncRNA (ENSAPLG00000020296.1)". The record is from RNAcentral. Lineage: Eukaryota; Metazoa; Chordata; Aves; Anseriformes; Anatidae.
UUCCAAUGGUUUGCACUUUUUUAUGGUGAGGAAAAAAAAGCGUGAACAGCAAGAACUAUCUGUCAGAAGCAAUGAAGGCUAAAGAAAUAAUGCUGUUCUGUUAACCAUGUGUUCCUCUUUCUCCUUAUGGAAAGGGAAAUGCUGGAAUGCAUAAUCAACAGCUUGGAGAGAGUGAUGGCUCUGCAAAUUCCCCAGCUCUCUGAAGUCUGGGGGAUAGCUGUGUGCUCUUUGUGGCUAUGGUGGUUUCAACCUGCUGCGCCACUCUGUGCUCUCACCCCCCUUCCUCAAGUGAUAAACACCUAGGAAGGAGAAUAGAAGGAAAAAUCUUUGGUAACAGUUUCCCUAGAAGACACCUGCUGCCUCUGGCAAUUUUGCUCCUUGAAGUGGAUUCUGAGCCAGGUGGAUCUUGCGUGCAGCUGCCCUUGAGGGAUUGUUCCUUCUUCAAUGCAAUUAGCAUUUUUAUGCUGAAAGAGGCAUGCUCUUACUCAAGCCAUGAAUGAGCAACACUAAAUAAAAAAAUCUCAACUAUGCA